Cyprinus carpio (common carp) is the source of this 1750-nucleotide RNA transcript. It is a transcript of the gene named methyltransferase-like protein 25, with no coding region annotated. The record is from RefSeq and is a predicted model, not a curated record. Lineage: Eukaryota; Metazoa; Chordata; Actinopteri; Cypriniformes; Cyprinidae. The transcript has 5 exons.
AUAUUCGUUUCGUCAUUCAACAGAACGCACGCUGGUACACUCAACAUGGCCGCGCAGUCGGUCGCUCAGAGGAAUCAUAUCCUGAUUCGACUACUUAUGUCUUAAAUACUGUGUCAACAGCUGCUGCUCAGCCUGCUCUCACUAAAUAUUCUCUCUUUUCUGUGUCCUUGAACAAUGGCAUUUAAUGGCAUACCCGUCGAUACUUUAAAAAUAAAUAGAUGAACUUAAGCGCUUUCUCUCCAUAUCGUUAAGUAUCUCAAAUGCGCACACCGUGGACUUUUACACGCGUGAUGUUUGGAGCAGUUUGUGUGUGUGAGUCCUGAUGAAGUGCUGUGUGCUGUCAGUUCCACACAAGACCGCAUGAGGGCGAUAGAAGAGAAGAAAAACACUACUUUUGGCUUCUGCAAUGCCUCAAAGAAGUUGGUGGACAUAUCAGCCCUGCUGAGGGCAGUGAAAGCCCACUGUUUACCAGCUCCGGGGGUCUGUAUGCAGCUGGAAGAUCUGAUGCAGAAUCUGAGACUGAUGACUGGAGACACUACAGCAGGAGAGUCAUCAGACAAAGUAGUAGCACCGGAUGAGUUUAUGAACUGUAAGAAGGCCCAUGAGGUGCAGGCAAUGUCUGAGGUUGUGGCUAGUUUGGAUGAAGGCCUUUUCCUAUUGGUCACUCUCGAUUGAAGUCACAGGUUGACCACGCCCACUCAGUUUCCCCAGAAUCCACGCCACUGGCGCCGCAGUCUGACAGAAGAGCGAGCGAGGUUGUAUCAUGACGAGCAACAGGUCGUGUAAUGGGAAAAAGAUUUGGUGUUGAUGGAGGAGGUAACAUCUUCAAGACAAAACUUAGACCUGAUGCAACAUCAUCCAAUGUCACAAUCACCCUUCAGGAGGUACACAAGCAGAAGCUAAAUUGAACAUUGUCAAUUAUCAAUUCCUAUUUUACAAAAUUUGUCCUGCAUACAUUUUUAUCUUUAAUGUGUAUGCACUUGAAGACCAGUGCCCAAUAUGCACAGGAACAUUUCCAGUGUCAGAAGUAGACCUGCCAUGCCAGCUUUUGUGGAGACAGAUAAUGGUAAUAGUGACUCACAGACUUUGCAGAUGUUUUGAACGUGCUGAAAAAUCGGAAACAUUUUACAGGAACAGCUCACCAAAAACCCAGACUGUUCCUGGAGAACGGGGAGGUCUGGUAAUCCUACUUUAAAGGCUGUUAUUAUACAACUGAAUGAAAAUACCAGAAACAUCACUCUCACUGCUACAGUGUAUUUACAUUAUUCUGUCUCUGAGUUGUAGAAUAUAUUAUAGCAGUAGACAAAAAAAGUAAAAAGAUUGUGCUGUGAAAUGAGCUCUACAUGAAUGAAAUUAGAUUUGUAGCAUUCUCUAGAACAGUGGUUUUCAAGCCUGUGCUGGAGGCACCCCUGCCCUGCACAUUUUGCAUGUCUCUCUCAUCUAACACACCUGAUUCAAUUCAUCAGCUCAUUAGUAGAGACUGCGAGACCUGAUUUGGGUGUGUCUUAUAAGGGAGACAUACAAAAUGUGCAGGGCACGGGUGCCUCCAGGACAGGUUUGAACCACUGCUCUAGAGAAAGUUCAGCAGGGAAAAGGUUCCCUCAUGUGGAGACACAAGGACAACAGGCCUAUUUGAUUUUCAUGCAAAUCGCUUCUGAAGAUUUUUUCAUAAAUUGUUUUUUAAACUUUUCAAAAGUUUCUUAAAUAACAGAUAUACAGAGUGACCGUGCUGAACACAGCUGUAUGUGUG